GUCAACACUGUUCCACACGUAGACCUGUCUCCGAUACUGAAAUACUUCAGUGUGCGGCUUUUCACCGCGCGAAGCGUUCCCCGCGUUCCGAACGCCCUCUAGCCGCCGGAUCGGCGGUGAAAACACGCGAAAAACUUUUCGUGACAUUAAAUUGUCGAAAAUUAAGUUAAAUUAUCACUUUUUUCGAUCUUAAACUGAUUCAAUUGCCAUUUAGUUGCAUUUCGUAGAUUAAAUGGUUCAUUUUAUGAAGUUUUUCAUUCAUAAAUCUUUUAAAUUUUAAUUACAAACUAAUUUGAUUAAUUAAUCAACGAGAAGUGAACUAAAAUCAACAAGUGACUUAAUUUUUAAAUUACUUUUUGACGAUAACAUAGUUUGUGAACUAAGGGCAUUUACGCGCGUUUCCAAAAAUACAAAUCUCAAUUUACUUACAAAGUCCCUUGGGUGCGUUUAUUGCCACUUUUGGCACCAUUGCGAACAAUAAGCGUUAGUUAUUUCAGUUGUGUGACUGAAAUGCGUGAGUAAUACUUAGUCGGUAAACAAGUGUUGUUAUUUGGACGCGAAAUGGAAAGGAAAAGCAAACAUUUACGCUCAUAACCAUCCCAAAAAUUCAACCUUUUAUUGUGAAAUUGUGACAAAUCAC
Long non-coding RNA from Ostrinia nubilalis (European corn borer), 640 nucleotides. RefSeq lists it as uncharacterized. The record is from RefSeq and is a predicted model, not a curated record. Lineage: Eukaryota; Metazoa; Arthropoda; Insecta; Lepidoptera; Crambidae. The transcript has 2 exons.